GAGGGGAGGUCGAACCAACGAGAACUGCUAACUCUUGCAUCUGAGCAUGAAACCUCAGUCCCCUUA
This 66-nucleotide transfer RNA is filed under the name Passer montanus (Eurasian tree sparrow). RNAcentral's name for it is "tRNA-Ser". RNAcentral also lists the same sequence under 1 other name. The record is from RNAcentral. Lineage: Eukaryota; Metazoa; Chordata; Aves; Passeriformes; Passeridae.